Molecule: ribosomal RNA, 497 nt
Filed under: uncultured bacterium
Lineage: Bacteria
Description: partial 16S ribosomal RNA
Rfam family: Bacterial small subunit ribosomal RNA
Source: RNAcentral
GAUGAACGCUGGCGGCGUGCCUAAUACAUGCAAGUCGAGCGGACAGACCAGGAGUUUGCUCCGCUGUCGUUAGCGGCGGGCGGGUGAGUAACGCGUGGAUCACCUACCUAUAGGACUGGGAUAACUUCGAGAAACCGGAGAUUAUACCGGAUAAUAUAUUGAACCGCAUGGUGCAAUAGUGAAAGACGGUUUUGCUGUCACUUAUAGAUGGUUCCGCGCCGCAUUAGCUAGUUGGUAAGGUAACGGUUUACCAAGGCAACGAUGCGUAGCCGACCUGAGAGGGUGAUCGGCCACACUGGAACUGAGACACGGUCCAGACUCCUACGGCAGGGAGCAGUAGGGAAUCUUACGCAAUGGGAGAAAGCCUGACGGAGCAACGCCGCGGGAGUGAUGAAGGUCUUCGGAUCGUAGAACUCUGCUAUUAGGGAAGAACAAAUGUGUAAGUAACUAUGAACGUCUUGACGGUACCUAAACAGAAAGCCACGGCUAACUACGUG